Molecule: long non-coding RNA, 1373 nt
Filed under: Ovis aries (sheep)
Lineage: Eukaryota; Metazoa; Chordata; Mammalia; Artiodactyla; Bovidae
Description: lncRNA (ENSOARG00000025414.1)
Source: RNAcentral
CAAAGCGGGGCCCUCGGCGACCUGCGCCAGCGGGCCCUGGGCUGGGGCUGCGGCGGGGUGGGAGCGGGGCUGGAGAGACUCCUGAAGGCACCCUUGCUGGGCUGUCCCGGGGGACCGGAAGGGGCAGGCUGGGGUUUCAGAAAGGCAGCUUUGAGGAGGACAAGCAGGAGUCGGGGAGGGAGCGUGGUUAGGAGGCCAAUGGCGCGCACCAGAAGUGAGUUCUGAGUGAAGUCCCAGCAGCCUUUCAAGAGCAAGCCUGCAGUAGUUCGGGUGAGAAUCUAGGGGAGGGUUGGGAUGAUCACCAAGCACAGAGCCUGAGAACGGCAGCCAGGGCCGGGAAAGCGCCCCAGCAGGAGGAGCCCCAGGCCAGGCAGGUGCACCUCUGAGGCCUUCCUGGAGGCAACCCCACCAUCCAUCACAGUGGCUGCUGAGCAUCAGUUAGCAGGCCGGCCUUCUACAGGUUGUUAUUGAAGGGGACAGGCACAGCGCUCUUGCUCAGAAAGCCCCUGGUCUACUGGGGGAGCUUGUGUGUGCGCAAAGUCUCCAUCCAGUAAAAAAAGCAGCCAACAUAGUGGUAUCAAUCAGGACUGCACCUAAAGUCAGUGAACACGUGCUGGAGGGACGCUGGGAAAAGAGGCUGACUCUGGAAGGCAGGCAGGGACACCCCUCGGGCUCUGCCGCCCCUGGGGCAAGACGUCCAGAAUUCAUGGCCCGUCAGCCCUGCAAGGCCCAGGGCUCUGACCCCUUUGGAAAUCACUCUCUUCUCUGACAGUGGAGGCUCUCUCCUCGGAGGCCUAGGGCAGGCAGGUUUCCCUGGGAGAUGUACUCUGGUGCCCUGCAGUCAGGAUGAUGGGUGAGGAGGCAAAAGCUGCUCUGGGCCGCUGAGAUCAGUGGGGCACGGAGAGAAAUAUGGCCAAGCAACUGCGAAAUGAGAGAGACACUCAGGCUGGAUGGCAGUGGGAGGGCAGCAUUGGCUCUGGCUCCUGCUAUGCCUCCGAAUUCCAGAGGCACUUUUUGCAGAGAGCCCGGCUCAAAAGGGGGUCCCAGGCGGGCAGCACCCCUUGACUUUGUGCCAGCAGCGUCGUGCCUGGCCUGUGUGUGUCUCAAGGGCGGCCAGAAGCAGAGCAGCUUCACUGUGUUCUGCCUGCCCCAAGAGUUGUGACCCUCUCUGGCCUUUGCGCGUUGGUUAUCUGUGGAAGUGGAAGACGCUGGGCUCUUCAGGCUGCCCCCGCUCCUCCGGAGGCCCGAGGCUGCCCUGCGGUAGUUGCUCCAUUGCCGAGUCACGGCCGCCUCCCGCCUCCAGUGGACUGCAGCACGCCAGGCUCCUCUGUCCUCCAGCAUCUCCCAGAGUUUGCUCAAACUCACGGCUCUGA